Long non-coding RNA from Physeter macrocephalus (sperm whale), 1264 nucleotides. RefSeq lists it as uncharacterized. The record is from RefSeq and is a predicted model, not a curated record. Lineage: Eukaryota; Metazoa; Chordata; Mammalia; Artiodactyla; Physeteridae. The transcript is spliced from 3 exons.
UUGAAUAUUAUGUUAUGAAGACCCUGGAUUAUGUUAUAUUUCCACUACAGAGUGUUGAUUUUUGUGCUCAUUUUGUCAGGUAAUUUACUUGGUUGGACUAAAAAUACAAACAUAGUCUUUCGGCAAGCUGCUCAAAUGUCAGUUCACUUCUUUUAUCCUUAGCUGAUCUGCUUGUAGUCUGUCCUAUGUAUGUGUAACUUAGAGGUUGGCCAGAGAUUUGUACAGAGUUUAUAAAGAAGUCUUCCCUCUGACUCUCACCUUUCCAGGAUUUCCGCCUCACUUUCCAGUGGCUAUGAUUGCCCUCAACUCUGUCCUCUGAGUUUUCAGGCCAGAAAUACUGCAGGUGUUCUACUGAACACCUCAAAUGGUGCUGACUGCAGUAUACUGAAAGGCAUUUAAAAAAUGAGAAACUCAUCCUGUGCCAUUCCCUUCCUCCAGGUGUUGACUCCUCUCUGGAACCUGUCUGCCUUUGUUUAUUCUCCAGUGCUUCAGGAAGCCAAAACUUAAAGAAGCAACUCCAUGACCCGUGCUGCAGUUUUAGUACUAUAUGUGCUGCUGAAGUGAUCACUUCAAGACACCUUUGGAUCUUCAUCACUCACUUGUUCUUUGAUCAAAUGGAAAACCACUGCAUUAAUUCCGUUUGGGCAAGUUGUCACUAUGACCUUACUUGGUCUUGUUGCUUCUUGCUGGAGAGAUUUUUCUCUACUCCUGUCUCUAUAACUCAGAGGCUUUUACCAGUGAUCUUGCCCUGACUGUAAAAUUCUCGUUUCUAAAAAAAAAGAAUGCAAGGCUAUUGGUUGGUCUAGAAUGAGUUUGUCUCAAAACAUAUUUUGUUAAAUACAUUGAUUUCCUGAGCUGACCACUGACCAAAGUAAUAUUCUGCUGUCCCUGUCAUUAGUAGCUUUAUCCUGCUUUUCUAUCUCCCAAUCCAAGGCUGUCCCCAAAACUUCACUAGAUGAGCCUUAAGUCAAAACACCCAAGUUCUGAGGACUGCGUCUAUCUCAAAAAAGGACAUGCAAUUCUAAUUUAUUUAAACCUCACUUUACAGUUAAUCUUGGCUCAGAAUUAAACAAAAACUUAAAUAGAAAACUCAGUCAAACAAGUUAUUCACAUGAAGUCAUAAACCAGCAACCAUCCACCCACGCACCCACCCACUCAUUCAGCCCACAAAUAUUACUGAGCACUUACAAAGUGCCCACGUGCAGUAUUAAUUACUUGGAACGGCUCCGUGAGCAAAACAGACAAAGUCCCUGCCCUUAUGAAG